RNAcentral lists this ribosomal RNA (503 nucleotides) under uncultured bacterium. RNAcentral's name for it is "bacterial SSU rRNA". It matches the Rfam family "Bacterial small subunit ribosomal RNA", at positions 20 to 518 of the family's 1533-position model. The record is from RNAcentral.
UGGCUCAGGAUGAACGCUAGCUACAGGCUUAACACAUGCAAGUCGAGGGGCAGCAUGAGAGUAGCUUGCUACUUUGAUGGCGACCGGCGAAUGGGUGAGUAACGUGUAUCCAACCUGCCGCACACCCGGGAAUAGCCCUUGGAAAUGAGGAUUAAGUCCCGAUAUGCAUGGUAGUCGCAUGACUACUGUGUGAACCCAGGUAUGCGAUGGGGAUGCGUCCGAUUAGCUUGCCGGCGGGGUAACGGCCCACCGGGGCAUCGAUCGGUAGGGGUUCUGAGAGGAAGGUCCCCCACACUGGUGCUGAGACACGGACCAGACUCCUACGGGAGGCAGCAGUGAGGAAUAUUGGUCAAUGGACGAGAGUCUGAACCAGCCAAGUAGCGUGCAAGGAUGACGGCCCUAUGGGUUGUAAACUGCUUUUUCCGGGGAAUAACAUGUGCCACGUGUGGCACUUUGCAUGUACCCGGUGAAUAAGGACCGGCUAAUUCCGUGCCAGCAGCCGC